GCUGCCUCUGCCUGCUUACUCGGUUGUGGAGAACCCUUCCUCCAUCAAACUGACUACAACAUACACUCGCCGGGGCCAUGGGACAUGCACGAGCCCAGGUUGUUCUUUUACCUACGUCACCAGGCACAAACCACCUAAGUGCCCUACUUGUGGUAACUUCCUAGGUGGGAAGUGGAUCCCAAAGGUAAGGUCUGUUCCAUUACCCCAGAACAGAUGUUUUGUUUUUAAAUUAACACGGGCUUGUUUUAAACCUUUAACAUGUCUAUGAUGUGUAUGGGAGUAUGUGUGUGCUCGUUUGAGUGAGUACAAGUACAUGCAUUCAGUGUUACACAUAGGAGAUCAGAAGACACCCCUGGGUGUUGGCCAGUGCUUUUCACUGUUUGAGGCAGGAUCUCUUUUGUUGUCCAC
Molecule: long non-coding RNA, 408 nt
Filed under: Rattus norvegicus (Norway rat)
Lineage: Eukaryota; Metazoa; Chordata; Mammalia; Rodentia; Muridae
Description: long non-coding RNA NONRATT013844
Source: RNAcentral